GGACCCGCACAAGUAGUGGAGCAUGUGGUUUAAUUCGAAGAUACGCGCAGAACCUUACCAACACUUGACAUGUUCGUCGCGACUUUAAGAGAUUAAAGUUUUCGGUUCGGCCGGACGAAACACAGGUGCUGCAUGGCUGUCGUCAGCUCGUGUCGUGAGAUGUUGGUUAAGUCCCGCAACGAGCGCAACCCUCACUUUUAGUUGCCAUCAUUUAGUUGGGCACUCUGAAAGAACUGCCAGUGAUAAGCUGGAGGAAGGUGGGGAUGACGUCAAGUCCUCAUGGCCCUUACGUGUUGGGCUACACACGUGCUACAAUGAUAUUUACAACAGGAAGCAAAACGGCGACGUUAAG
RNAcentral lists this ribosomal RNA (352 nucleotides) under uncultured bacterium. Its description in RNAcentral is "bacterial SSU rRNA". It matches the Rfam family "Bacterial small subunit ribosomal RNA", at positions 917 to 1267 of the family's 1533-position model. The record is from RNAcentral.